This 518-nucleotide long non-coding RNA is filed under the name Vulpes vulpes (red fox). RNAcentral's name for it is "lncRNA (ENSVVUG00000006321.1)". Lineage: Eukaryota; Metazoa; Chordata; Mammalia; Carnivora; Canidae. The record is from RNAcentral.
UAAAACAAAAACAACAAUAAAAACCCUCUACAAUUAUGGAGAGGAAGAAAUCACUGUCCUGGGAGGUUACGGUUUGAAGUCAUCCAAGUCAUUUCUCUGCUUCCUAGAAGUACGGGAAAGCUGUAACUCAGAGCAGGUAUCUCAUCCAGGAAUUUAGAAGCAGAAGUCAGGGAAACUAUGUAUGCAGAGUCAAGACAAUAAAUUGCCUCUUUCAGGACCUGAAAGUGUCCCUUGAAAUUGGAUGCAGCUACAAGGGCCCACUGAUUGCAGACAUACACUGCCUCCUGGCUCUAAGUCACCACACCUUCAGAUUCCACCAAAUACCAGUUCCCUUCUAGCAAGAGUUAAAACAGAUAAGUUUGAGCUAUCGAGCUUCUACAGAGGUAAGCAUCAGUUUUUUUGUCAUUCUCCCUAUUAUGUACCAUGAAGUGUCAUCUUUUCUUAGACCCAGAUUUUCCCUGUUUAUACUGCAAACCACGUUUUUAACCACCCUAAUAAAGGACGCAGUAGAAUACCCA